UGGCGCUCGUCGCCGACCGCAUACUCUGCAUCGCGCCGUCGCCGGCAGCGCUUGCCGGUCACCACCUCACAGGCUCACUUCAAGGUCCGGAUUGGCCUCCUCCAGCUCCGAAAGGCACUCCAUGAGGGUCCUAGGAGGCGGCGUCGCGGCCGGCGUUGACCCAAACGUUUACUGCGGCUAAGCCGUUCAACUCGGCAUCGCCGCGGCGGCGGCGACCCCGACUCUUCCGGCGUCUGCUUGGAUCCCGAUUGCAGCUGCUUCCUUCCGGUGACUAGAUCUUUUCCUAACUACCUGUUCGUUUUUCUCUCUACUGGAGUUUCUGAUUUUAGGAUUGAGCCUUCUAGUUCUAGUUUGCAGUAGUGUUUUGGUUGUACGGGUCCAUUAAAUUGCUGUUGUAAAAUAGUUUUAUCUAAACCUCGGGAUUUUGCAAUUCAGAGGUAUAUAUAUAACUGCAAAAAUGAGCAUCUUCCAGUUGUUACUCUGAUAGCAACGGAUCCUUGAGUACUCCACAUUCUGCACCUUCGUUAUUCAAGUCAUUGCUAAGCACUGUAUUGGUUUAAGGCAAAGGCACAAACUGCACCUGUCACACUUAACAGGUGGUUCUAUGUGACCAACUCAAAAGAUCCCAGAAUUGACAACAAGAGCUUUUCCGUAAUUCCAACUUUUCAACAGUAAAUAUGUUAGAACCUACAUCUCAUGAUUGGUCCUUUCUGUGGUACAUAUGGAAAUGGAGAUUUCUGUUCUUUAGAUGCUAUCUAGUAAAGACUGGAGAAAAGGGUUCUGUAAUUUUGCAUCACAAUGCUCAAUGCUAACUGAAGCCAUGAAACUGAUCUCCCAAAAAAAAAAAAAAAAACUGAGGGCAUAAAACUUCCCUCAUUUGGUAACUGUAGCUUUGAGCCACACAUUUAACCAGAUCAAUCAUGUUUGAAGAAAAUUAUCCUUUGUUGAUAGUGUUAAUUUCAAUCCGUUGGUUGCUGUUGGAUCCAGUUUUCCUCUAAUCUCUAGUGCAGGGUGGGGGAUUAUGUUUACGCGAAAGGAGGUAUGAGCGCCUGUGGGGGGGCUACUUCCAGUUUCCUGAUGACAAUCUUAUGCAUGUAUAUAAGCAUGCAUGCGUUUUCCCUUUUCCCUCGCACGCGGCCUGGAAAAAGCAGCAGUCCCCACCGUGGUCUGGGAAAACGACAAACCACGAAUGGCCACCAACUCCUUCACACGGGAUCGUUGACGCCAAAAGGAGCCACCCGAUUGAGAAGGGAAUUUUCGAUGAAUGUUUCCAGCUUUGACAGAAUUUUGAAUCAAUAUCUUUGGAGCACUGUGAUCGGGAAGCUAAUAAAGUUGCAUAUGAGUUAGCUACAGUAGCUUUGUCGACAAAAUAAAAUUGUAUUUAGGUCGAUGAACCUCUAGAUUUUAUUCUUGAAAGCCUUGUAAAUGAUGUAAUCUUAUUUGAUAAUCAAUAAAUUGUGUUGCAUGGCUUCCCUCAAAAAAAAGGAGCCACCCGAUUGAGACGGGAGCGAGUAGCACAUGGAUGCGAAAGCGGUACAAAUAUUUUUCGAUUGUA
Long non-coding RNA from Sorghum bicolor (sorghum), 1555 nucleotides. RefSeq lists it as uncharacterized. The record is from RefSeq and is a predicted model, not a curated record. Lineage: Eukaryota; Viridiplantae; Streptophyta; Magnoliopsida; Poales; Poaceae. The transcript is spliced from 2 exons.